RNAcentral lists this ribosomal RNA (2879 nucleotides) under Marinilabiliaceae bacterium JC017. Its description in RNAcentral is "23S ribosomal RNA". It matches the Rfam family "Bacterial large subunit ribosomal RNA". Lineage: Bacteria; Pseudomonadati; Bacteroidota; Bacteroidia; Marinilabiliales; Marinilabiliaceae. The record is from RNAcentral.
AUAAGAAAGUAGGAAAGGGCGCAUGGAGGAUGCCUAGGCUCUCAGAGGCGAAGAAGGACGUGAUAAGCUGCGAAAAGUUGCGGGGAGUUGCAAAUAAAUAAUGAUCCGCAAAUGUCCGAAUGGGGCAACCCAGCUGGUUGAAGACCAGUUAUCCGWAAGGAGGCAAACCCGGGGAACUGAAACAUCUAAGUACCCGGAGGAAGAGAAAACAAAAGUGAUUUCCUAAGUAGCGGCGAGCGAACGGGAAUUAGCCCAAACCGAUAUUGUUCAGGCAAUGUCGGGGUUGUAGGACUACCAUCAUCAAAGAGAAUAGAAGUGGAACCAUUUGGAAAGAUGGAUCRAAGAGGGUGAUAAUCCCGUACACGUAYAAGACUCUGCGAGGGUAGUAUCCUGAGUAGGGCGGGACACGAGAAAUCCUGUCUGAAUCUGCCGGGACCAUCCGGUAAGGCUAAAUACUCCUGAGAGACCGAUAGUGAACCAGUACCGUGAGGGAAAGGUGAAAAGCACCCCGAACAGGGGAGUGAAAUAGUACCUGAAACCGUGCGCCUACAAGCGGUCGGAGCCAAUUMAAUUGGUGACGGCGUGCCUUUUGCAUAAUGAGCCUACGAGUUACUUCUUACUGGCGAGGUUAAGUUGUUCAGCAACGGAGCCGAAGCGAAAGCGAGUCUGAAUAGGGCGAMARAGUCAGUAGGAGUAGACGCGAAACCGAGUGAUCUACCCUUGGUCAGGUUGAAGUUCCGGUAACACGGAAUGGAGGACCGAACCAGUUUACGUUGAAAAGUAUUUGGAUGAACUGAGGGUAGGGGUGAAAGGCCAAUCAAACUCGGAAAUAGCUCGUACUCCCCGAAAUGCAUUUAGGUGCAGCCUUUAAUAAAUUUUACAGAGGUAGAGCUACUGAUAGGACGCGAGGGCUUCACCGCCUAUCAACUCCUGAUAAACUCCGAAUGCUGUAAAAUGAUGUUAAGGAGUGAGGGCAUGGGUGCUAAGGUCCAUGUCCGAGAGGGAAAGAACCCGGACCAUCAGCUAAGGUCCCCAAAUGUAUGCUAAGUUGACCAAACGCGGUCUUGUUGCAGAGACAGCUAGGAUGUUGGCUUGGAAGCAGCCAUUCAUUUAAAGAGUGCGUAACAGCUCACUAGUCGAGCGACGAGGCAUGGAUAAUAAUCGGGCAUAAGCAUACUACCGAAGCUAUGGAUUGUGUKUARACACAAUGGUAGGGGAGCAUUCCAUUAWGGGUUGAAGCYGUACUGCGAGGUAUGGUGGACUAAAUGGAAAAGCAAAUGUAGGCAUAAGUAACGAUAAAGGGGGUGAGAAACCCCCUCGCCGAAAGACUAAGGUUUCCUGAUCAACGCUAAUCGGAUCAGGGUUAGUCGGGACCUAAGGUUAAGCCGAAKGGCGAAAUCGAUGGCAAAACGGUUAAUAUUCCGUUACCUGUGAUAACUGCGAUGUGGUGACGAAAGAGUGAAAGGAMUGCGUACUGACGGAAUAGUACGUUUAAGGGUGUAGGUAUUGAGGAUAGUAGGCAAAUCCGCUAUCUGAGCUGAACCUGAAAGUACCGCGCGGCUACGGCCAAGCGGAUAAUGUCYCUAAUCAGAUUUCCAAGAAAAACCACUAAGCAUCAGGUUAUCAGAGCCCGUACUGUAAACGGACACACGUAGUUGGGUUGAGUAUACUAAGGCGCUCGAGUGAUUCACGGCUAAGGAACUCGGCAAAUUGGUCCUGUAACUUCGGGAUAAAGGACGCCCUCCUCCGGGAGGGCCGCAGAGAAAUGGCCCAGGCGACUGUUUAYCAAAAACACAAGGCUUUGCAAAAUCGCAAGAUGAGGUAUAAGGCCUGACACCUGCCCGGUGCCGGAAGGUUAAGAGGAGGAGUUAUCUUCGGAGAAGCUCUGAAUUGAAGCCCCGGUAAACGGCGGCCGUAACUAUAACGGUCCUAAGGUAGCGAAAUUCCUUGUCGGGUAAGUUCCGACCUGCACGAAUGGUGUAACGAUCUGGGCACUGUCUCAGCCGUGAGCUCGGUGAAAUUGUAGUAUCGGUGAAGAUGCCGAUUACCCGCAACGGGACGGAAAGACCCCGUGAACCUUUACUGCAACUUAGCAUUGAUUUUGGAUAAGUGAUGUGUAGGAUAGGUCGGAGAYWGUGAACCGGUUUCGCCAGGAAUCGGGGAGUCAUCCUUGAAAUACGACCCUUUGCUUAUUUGGAAUCUAACUUGAGARAUCGAGGACACUGCUUGGUGGGUAGUUUGACUGGGGUGGUCGCCUCCAAAAGAGUAACGGAGGCUUCCAAAGGUACGCUCAGGACGUUUGGUAAUCGUCURYAGAGUAUAAUGGUAUAAGCGUGCUUGACUGUGAGACCGACAAGUCGAUCAGGUAGGAAACUAGGGCAUAGUGAUCCGGUGGUUCCGUAUGGAAGGGCCAUCGCUCAAAGGAUAAAAGGUACUCCGGGGAUAACAGGCUGAUCGCUCCCAAGAGCUCAUAUCGACGGAGCGGUUUGGCACCUCGAUGUCGGCUCGUCACAUCCUGGGGCUGGAGAAGGUCCCAAGGGUUGGGCUGUUCGCCCAUUAAAGUGGCACGCGAGCUGGGUUCAGAACGUCGUGAGACAGUUCGGUCCCUAUCUGUUGUGGGCGUAGGAGAUUUGAGAGAGUCUGUCGUUAGUACGAGAGGACCGCGAUGGACAGACCACUGGUGUAUCAGUUGUUCCGCCAGGAGCAUAGCUGAGUAGCUAAGUCUGGAAGAGAUAAGUGCUGAAAGCAUCUAAGCACGAAGCUCGUCUCAAGAUGAGAUCUCCCUUAAGGGACGUUAGAGACUAUGACGUUGAUAGGCUGCAGGUGUAAAGGUGGUAACACCAAAGCCGAGCAGUACUAAUUACCCGAGACUUUCGAUU